CUACGGGACGCUCCAGUGGGGAAUAUUGCACAAUGGAGGAAACUCUGAUGCAGCAACGCCGCGUGGAGGAUGACACUUUUCGGAGCGUAAACUCCUUUUAUAUAGGAAGAAGAUGACGGUACUAUAUGAAUAAGCGCCGGCUAACUCCGUGCCAGCAGCCGCGGUAAUACGGAGGGCGCAAGCGUUACUCGGAAUCACUGGGCGUAAAGAGCGUGUAGGCGGAUUAAAAAGUCAGAAGUGAAAUCCUAUAGCUUAACUAUAGAACUGCUUCUGAAACUCUUAAUCUAGAAUGUGGGUGAGGUAGAUGGAAUUUCUGGUGUAGGGGUAAAAUCCGUAGAGAUCAGAAGGAAUACCGAUUGCGAAGGCGAUCUACUAGAACAUUAUUGACGCUGAGACGCGAAAGCGUGGGGAGCAAACAGGAUUAGAUACCCCAGUAGUC
This 439-nucleotide ribosomal RNA is filed under the name uncultured bacterium. RNAcentral's name for it is "partial 16S ribosomal RNA". It matches the Rfam family "Bacterial small subunit ribosomal RNA", at positions 339 to 795 of the family's 1533-position model. The record is from RNAcentral.